GACGAACGCUGGCGGCGUGCUUAACACAUGCAAGUCGAACGGAAAGGCCCUGCUUGCGGGGUACUCGAGUGGCGAACGGGUGAGUAACACGUGGGUGAUCUGCCCUGCACUUCGGGAUAAGCCUGGUAAACUGGGUCUAAUACCGGAUAGGAGCCAUUUUUAGUGUGAUGGUUGGAAAGUUUUUUCGGUGUAGGAUGAGCUCGCGGCCUAUCAGCUUGCUGGUGGGGUAAUGGCCUACCAAGGCGGCGACGGGUAGCCGGCCUGAGAGGGUGGACGGCCACAUUGGGACUGAGAUACGGCCCAGACUCCUACGGGAGGCAGCAGUGGGGAAUAUUGCACAAUGGGCGCAAGCCUGAUGCAGCGACGCCGCGUGGGGGAUGACGGCCUUCGGGUUGUAAACUCCUUUCGCUAGGGACGAAGCUUUUUGUGACGGUACCUAGAUAAGAAGCACCGGCUAACUACGUG
Molecule: ribosomal RNA, 465 nt
Filed under: uncultured bacterium
Lineage: Bacteria
Description: partial 16S ribosomal RNA
Rfam family: Bacterial small subunit ribosomal RNA
Source: RNAcentral